GGACAGCAACGUGGUACAGCACAUGAAGCAGAGCAGCAGCCUGGAAGGCAGGGAGGGUUGGGGCAGAGCGUCCACGGAACACACAUCCCUGCGGCUCCACAGUGGGCCUCCUACCAACCUGCUGGGGCUGGUCUAGACAGCUGUGGCUGGAAAGGCAGGCAUUUGUCCUGCAGGGUGCCAUUCAGCUCUGUACUCCCAAUGCUUGGCACAGCGUAAGUAUUAAAGCAAUACUUCUUGAAUGAAUGAAUCACACUUCAUGGACUAGCGGCCUUAGCCAGAAAAAAGUCCUUAGUGAAGCAAAGAAUAGCUCUGGUAGUAGGGCCACAGGGUGUAGACUUACCAUUGUUUUUCUGUCUCCACGGACAUUGGCUGGAGCUUGGCGGUGAUGUGUGUUUGUGUGUGGAAGGCAAUACUUUGUUUGCCCUCGCAGCCAGCAAUUCUGUGAGCGCCACGGCACUCCUUGCUUUGCCGCCAAGUCACCAUAGAUAUCAGUGACCCAAUAGAGAUGAAUGUUUGGAGCUCACAGUUCCACCCACUACCUGUCAACAUGCUGAAGGCAUAGCCCCCAAAGUCACAGAAGUGUCCCGUGUCACUGUGUGCACUUUUCCAGCUGACAUCUUAAAGCGUCAACACUUGGAGAAAAACACUAACAAGGUGGAAUCACUGACUUUGCACAACUUGGGGACAGUACGUUUAUCAUGUGGACUCCAUUGGCUGACAGCGACUUGACUUUGCCAAUUCUGUACCUACACGGGUAACUGCCUCUGGGGGUGGCAACUUGCUGACUGAUGUAAAUAGGGAGGAGUGGAAAUGUGAGAGGAUAAAAAUUCUUGCAGAUAGUACACAGAGAUUUUAAAGAGCCACAGAGUCUCCAUAUGAUGUGACGAAAUGCCACUGUGUGCCUGGGAGGUUGAGUGUAGGGGCAAGAUUAUUACUGAGUUAGGGGGUGGAUUAAGCUGUAGUUAUCAGACCUGUUUGACAAUCUGGGAGACAGGAACAUGCUUUUAAGCAUAACCUAUAGUCAUCUAAAUGACUCAUACUGAGAACCAAUACUAUAUUAUUUAUUUAUACUCGUGUUGACUCCCAUAGGAGUCAGGGCAGCU
Molecule: long non-coding RNA, 1103 nt
Filed under: Homo sapiens (human)
Lineage: Eukaryota; Metazoa; Chordata; Mammalia; Primates; Hominidae
Description: HSALNT0129491
Source: RNAcentral